GGAAACCAUACCUCCCACCACGGCUGCCUUGGGCCUGGCGAGCAGCAGCAAUUUCCAGCUGUCCUACUGCCCCUCGGCUGAUCUGGGCAGCAAAUGUCUGUGUCCACGUUCACCACCUCUUUGACAGAAUGACUUGGAAGAUGAUGGAGCUGCUCAGUCAAGCGGAAUGUGAAGUCUUUCCUCUUCAGCUCUGUGGAUUGCAUUUAAGAAGAAACCUUAAGUGGCUCCUUCUGGCCGAUGAUGGAUGAAGACCAGGUUCUUCUGCUCGGAUUCCAAAGCCCCGUGUAAUCUGACCCCAACCUACCGCAUCUAAGCGUGUUCCCCACACUCUCACUAGACGUCGUGGAACGUCUCUUCAAGGCACUGGCCUGGGUUCCAGGGGAAUCAAAACACGAGGAAGCUCCAGCACACCACUAGAGCAUCAAGCCCGGCUGUGGCCAUCUGAGGGCCACCAGGAUGAUGGAGAAGGGAUGACCCAAUCCCCCGGCUGGGCUUGCGUGUUUUCCUCUUGGAUGAAAGGAUGCUAAGUAUUAGAGACUUGUGCCGUGCCUGGCUCAGAGUACACACCUAUUGGCUGAUGAAUAAGGAAUAAAUGAAUGUGUGCCGUUUAAGCAAAUGGAAGAUGCAAUGGCUUCUGGCUCUCAAUAUCACACUAUUUUUAUGGAAAUGUUGCAGUAGAAGAAUGUUUCAGCUCACAGAAGCCCAUGAACGUGAGACAGCCAGGAAGAGUUAUCAGUGGCCAGCUUCCAGAUGAAAGGAGAGAAGAGGAAAAAGGAGAUUUUCAGAACCCAGUUGUGUUAAACGUGGUAACAGAGGAGCCUAACAGUGAAGGAGGCAAAAAAGAUAAGAGGUUCCUGCCCCUGGGGGCAAGGCAUUCAGUUGCCACAUCAAUGCAUGGGCACAGCAAGGGAUGAACGCAGCUCUGCAGAGGCCACAGACGACCCACUGGGGUAGUGAGCAGCCCUGAAGUGCCAAUGCUGUUACAAGUCCUGGGCCAGUUACAACUACAAUCCCCGCCCCGUCCCUGGCCCACUGUCUAGUGGGGGAGGGGGUGACCAUGAGAGAGCAAAUAGUCAUACUGCUACGGAAGCACAGAGCUGGUUCCACGCAGACAGAUCCUGGAAGAUGUUCCCAGACAGACGCCAUGUCUGCCAGGUCCUGAAGUGGGAGAGGGCUCCCAGGAACUUGCUGCCAUUGGGCAGAACUGAUGGGGAUGGUGGGGGGAGGAAGGGAAGUUUGGAAACUCUUCAGGACGUAACAUGGAGAAGACUGGACACCAAAUGGUUGUGGGAGUGAAGGUCGGACAAGGUCAAAGGCGGCCCCGAGCCUCUUGGGAAACCAGGAUGUACUGACUGAGGUAGGUGGUGGGAUAGAGGAGGAGAAAGUCUGGGGAGGCGUCCAAAUGGGAAAGUGAAUGUGGAUAAAGGCCAGCCCUCCAAGGGGGUGGGAGUCAGGGAAGCGGGGAAUUAUAUUGUCUUGGAUUUUUUUUGUCUUCCCCCACUAGGCAGUCUUUUUGUACCGAUGAAAUUGUGUUGGAUUGGAAAUAAAAGAGGACCAAAAUGCAACUUUCAGCGGGGGGCGUAGGCCGGGAAGAGCCUGGCAGGGACGGCGGUGGGGUGGGCAGGCUCUGAGGCUGUGGACCACUUGGGUGACUCUUGGACUUACUGCUUGCUCGUUUGCUUAUCUUUCACAGGAGCUGGUAGACAUUCUAACAGCAGGUCUCCGCCACCGCCCGCCCGUCAAUUGCCCCUCCAUUCACCUUGCCGUCCAGACGGUGCUGGGGAGACACAAAGCAUCUUGAGUACUUCCUCAUUACCUCAUGGCAGUGAAAAGAAGAUGGAUUUUCCACCGCCUACUUCCUUCUCCAGUGGGUAAACAUAGAGCGUCCUCAGCGUUUCUGCAAGAGCAGGAGUUUGAAAAAUGCAGUGAGCUCAAUCGUGCAAGCUCCUGAACAGACAGCUGGAAGACCCGUUUGUAUUUGGCCAAGUGAUCUUCAGAAAGGAGAGAUGUGGCCUUCCUCAAAAAGGCUAUCUUCUACAAAUCUCGACUUCCCCAAAAUUAGCCUGACCCACUGGCGGAGUUGCCUGCCUGUGUUGGGGAGAUGGCUAGACUUGAGUCAGUGUGGUCUUUUUUGUUUUUUUGCUGAGGAAGAUUUUCCCUGAGCUAACAUCCAUGCCAAUCUUCCCCUAUUUUUUUUUUUUUUUUUUUUUAGUAUGUGGGCUGCCAGCACAGGAUGGCUGCUAGCAUAUUGGUGUAGGUCCAUCCCUGGGAACCAAACCUGGGCCACCAAAGCAGAGUGUGCUGAACUUAACCACUAGGCCACCGGGGCUGGCCCAGUGCAGUCUUUACCUGUUUACUAGAUCCUGGGUGCUGGGAGGGAGACUGCGUGUAGCUUGGGAAUGUUACGGGGAGGAAGUAAUAGAAAAGCAUAACGUGGAAGUAACCAUUGCUAGAAUCCUCAUUUGCACCCACAAAUAGGCUGUAAAACUGCCUUUGAGCCCAUGGAGAUGGGUAUUAAACACAGUCAUUCUUCACUGGUAUUGCCAUCGUGUGCAUGUUUGUGUGCGCACAUGCGCGCGUCUAACGUCAUUUCUGCAGCUGGUGGGGCCCAGGCUGAGGCAGAGAGUUCACACAGCAGGAAGACUGUCUUGCCUCAGUCGCUUGGAAAAAGAGAAAAGAGGGCAGAAAGCCACAACUCAACAAAAAAGAAUCUUCUAAAAGCGAGAAAGACGUUUUAAGAGAGCUCUUUUGACGUAGAACUCAGGAAGGACAACUCGUUUGUUGAGGCCGUCGGCUCAGUGUCCUGCUACCAGAAAGCCCAGUGAAAUACUGCACAGUACUGGAAAGAUUUUGGAAACAAAAUUCAAUUCUGCAAACAUUACGAGGCAUCUUCUGUGCGCCAGAAAAUGUACUAAGUUCCUGGGGAUAAAAAGCUGAAUUGGGCAUGACCCUUUACUUCAAGGGGUUUGGAUCUGGGCAAUUUAAGUACGAAGACUGUGCAAGAGAAUAUGACACAAAUGGUUAUUUCUGGGGAGUGGGGUUACAGCUAAUAUUAUUUUUAACUUUUCAGAAAAUCAUAGGAUACUGUAGCUGAGUAGCUUGGUGGCUGUGAAGUGAGUGGCUGGUGAGGAGAGUGAAGCCGCCUCUUUUAACCUCCAUGCUCUUCUUGUCUUCCCCAGGAGGGGAGUUUGAAUUUAUCUCUGGGAGUAGAUUUGCCCGAAUUGGUUCUUUGGUUAUUCUACAGGAAGCCGAUCCUGCUUUAUAGUGAAGAUGACCCAGCUCUUCUUACUCAGUUCUCUUUGCUGACCCAACUACACCUUGUGAGGGUUCCGUCUCUUCUCAGUCUACAAUCUUGACCUCCAGUAUUUCAGCCAUGUCCGUGGCGGUCCAUUCCUUCUACAUGCCGAUCAUUUCUCGGUCCACAUCUCCAGGUCCAACCUCUGUUCUGAGCACUAGCCUCUUAGAUUCCCUGCAAACCUUUCCCAAAUAUACCCUCCAGUCUAUUCUCCACCCCUCAGCUGGACCGGUGCUGAAAACCCUUUAGAGGGUUCUCAUUGUUCUAAGGAUAAAAUCUAAAAUUCUUAACAUGCCUACAAAAGCAUGCAUGACUGGCUCUUAUUCGCUUCUCCGGGCGCAUCUCCUGUGGCUCUGGCCUUCCUCCCUUUCCUACAGUUGGCCCAGCUCUUGUGCACCCCGGAGCCUCAAAUCCACCAUUUUCUUUAUCUGGAAUCAUCCAACUCAAUCAUCCUUCAGAGCUCAGCUAAAAUGUUGCGUUCUUCAGGGGGCCCUCUCUAAUCCCUUAGAGCCAUGUCAACUCUCAUUAUAUGCUCUGUGUCUUUAGCAGAGACAUGGAGAAGAACGAUUUGUAAAACGAUCUGUUUACUAUCUAUCUCCUUCAGAUUGUAGCAAUUACAGAUUCCAGCCCUACGGCCUAACACAGUGCCAGUUGCUGAGUGACGCUCUGUAGAUGCACUAAUAAAUGAGUGAGAUUAGGAAUUAGGGGGCUGAUUUUCUCUUCCUAACAUAACAUGAAUGUUUAUUUUUGCUCUGAACAGAGCUGAGUGUCUGCAGAUUAUUUUUUGUUUAUUGGAGGAGGACUAAGGUUGACGGGGAGGAGAAACUUUUUUCUCUCUCCGCAAGGCCCUGGUAGCGUUGCAACCUGGACUCUGGUGGGGGCACACGCUGGUUCCCUCUCUGGGGCUCCUGCUAAGGAGAGAGAUGCCCAGAAACCUGUGGAUGGUUUUGCCUCUUUGGGACCAUUAUUUGGUUUUAAACGUUUUUCUUUUCCCUUCUGUAAGUCCCUUCUGUUUUCCCAAGCCUUCUGUUAAACGUUGACCCUCACGGCUUGGUCAGGGCUGUGCUGGGAGGAGCAAAGAGAGGCAAAGCUGUAGGGGACAACACAGAGACAACUUGCGGUCAAGGGAGUGGCAAUCAGGAAUGAAUGGCCAGCUGAGGGGACAAGUGCCAGCAGGGAGAGGGCUGUAGAAAUGAGAUUCUUCAUCUGGAAUGUGCAGGCGUAUUUCCGGAGGGAACUGGACACCGCCUGGACUCCAUGAAGUUCCAUAGUGUGCCGCCAUUGACUCAUUGCCUGUCAGCUCCAAAUCCAUCCUUUUUGCCUUCUCUGUAAAAAUGGAUCUGGGCCCUUUAUACCAUUUCCUCUGCCGGCUGGCAUGUUGUUAAGUCUCGUCCGUAGAGGGAGUGGGGAGACGGGGCAGGAGGCCAGAGCUCUGCCUGCUGGUUGCUUUGCUCUUGCAGCCGGCUCGGCAUUCUGGGCCGUGCCUCCAGCACUGGGAUCCUGCCAUGCAGGGCAGCCAGCAGCACCCAGUGGUCUCCAGCCAGCAUCUCCUGGCACCCUGCUCUUUGGGUGGUUUUGUGGUGAAGUGCUUCUGUGGGACACCUUUCCCCACACGCUAGACAGUAGAUUUGCAGUAAGUUCCACUGGCAUGAUACCACAGUGACAGAGGCUGCCAUAGUGAGCCAUGGCCAUGCUCUCCCAAAUGGAGUCUGGGUCUCAGCCCACGGAAGGGGGAGGCUCAUCCUUGGGUGCUCUUUCUUGGCUCUAAGGGUUAUGGCUGCUCCUUAAAUCUCCUAUUCCUAUUUUCUUUUGUAUUUUCUUUACUUCUUACUAGUCAAUCCCUCAUUGCUCCAAAGCCUGUUGUAGUUAAUAAUUUUUUUUGUGUGAGGAAGAUUUGUCCUGAGUUAACAUACAUUGCCAAUCCUCCUCUUUUUUUUUUCUUUCUUGAAGAAGAUCAGCCCUGAGCCAACAUCUGCACCAAUCUUCCUCCACUGUGUAUGUGGGAUGCCUCCACAGCAUGGCUGAUGAGUGGAGUAGGUCCACACCCAUGAUCCAAACCCAUGAACCUGGGCCGCCAAAGCAGAGCACACGGAACUUUAACCACGUGGCCGUGGGGCCAGACCCAAUCCUUCUUUAUAUUAAACUUUCACUGUUUAAGUACUGCGUGGUUUCUCUCUCCUGAUUGGACCUAGACUGAUACACACAGGAUGGGGCUCAGACUCUGAGCACUUGGCUGACAAGGGAAGGUGUCUCUAGAAGACUGAGGGAAUUGGAGACAUUUGGGCUGUAUGUAUUUUUCCGAGUUUGUGCAAUGAACAUAUGACUUACAUAUGCAGAAAAAAGAAAAAAAUUUAAAAGUUUGAAAAAACGCAAUACAAGAAGCAAAGGGGACAAAAACAUUCAAAAAGACCCACCCCAGUGCGGUAGGUGUGUGGCAGAAACAAGUUAUGUGCUAAGGGGGGAAGUGCCUUAGAGGAGGUGAUGCUUGAACUGAAUGUAAAGGGUGAGUGGCAGGGGGCACUUUCCCAGGCAGACACAUGUGUGCACUGGUGUGGACACAGGACCAGGGAGAGCCUAUGUCAUGGGAAGCGGUCAGUCACCAGCUCAGUGUGGACGGCGCCUGUGGCGGUCAAAGGUGGAGCACCAGGUCUGGGUGAUGACAGCAAAGCCUCAUGGCUUCAUUUAAAAACUAUGGGGUGGGUGGGAAAGUGGACUCCGUUUGCCUUUUGGACCGACCGCAGCUGUGAGAAUCUUCCUUGCAGAUCUUCGACCAUCUCCAGCUAUCCUGGAGCUUCACUGACCAAGGGCCCUGGCUGCUGUGCUCUGAAAUUCAUCUCUGGGUUUGUACGCAAGGCCACACUUCCCACCUGGCUGCUCCCAGCCAAUGACUGGGAGAGAUACCGAUACUAAGGCAGGUGGGUUCCAAAGAGAAUUGGGAGCCCAUGAUGAGCAACUGGAUGUAGGACUCCCCGAUGAUGUUCCCUAGACUGCAGGGAGGUUAGAAUGAUGGGGUCCCUCUCCUUUACUGGGGGCAGAGUUGCAUAAAGCCUGGCUCGCUCCCAUCCCUUCCUAUUUAAUCCCACAGUCAUUUCCCCUAAGAAAAUCCUUCCAGGCCCAGCCCUGUCUUGGCGCCUGCUUCUUGGAGGACCCACAUCAGCUCCUGGACUACGCCUUCCUUCCCUUCCCUCUCCUCUCCAGCGACAGCCUUUGUAUAGGCGAGGCCGGCGAUUGUGGGACACAGCCUUCAUUCCCGCGUCUCCUGGGCAUUCUCCCCCUUCUGUCAUCCAGGCCCUUGGCCUACUCAGGUUUCCCUAAUGAACCCUGCAGCUUCUCCAUCUGGAAAGUCCCAAUUCUCCUGGACUCCGGGUCACCAUCCGAGUGUCACCUCCAUCUCUGUCCUCUUCUCGGGACGGGAAGGAGAGACUCUCCUGCCUGCCGCAGGAGACUUCAGAUUCCGCCUGCUUCUGUCCUUGGUGGCACCCGAGGGAAGUCUCCGCUGUAAGCUCUUUGGGGAAGGGACUGGAUCCUAUUCACGCAUCGCAUGCACGAUGGCAGGCAGAGCGCCCAGCUCCUGGUAGGCGCUUCCUCAGCGCUUGUUGAGUUCUUGGUUUCCAUCAGUUGGGACGUCCCAAAGAAAGCGCAGGAGGCGGCGGUCGGAGCAGCAGGC
Molecule: long non-coding RNA, 6962 nt
Organism: Equus asinus (donkey)
Lineage: Eukaryota; Metazoa; Chordata; Mammalia; Perissodactyla; Equidae
Source: Ensembl